AGCUGUGUCACAUCAAGCCAAC
RNAcentral lists this microRNA (22 nucleotides) under Blattella germanica (German cockroach). RNAcentral's name for it is "Bge-Mir-31_3p* (star (passenger))". Lineage: Eukaryota; Metazoa; Arthropoda; Insecta; Blattodea; Blattellidae. The record is from RNAcentral.